AUUCGGAGGGUGCAAACGUUAAUCGGAAUUACUGGGCGUAAAGGGCGCGUAGGUGGUUAGUUAAGUCGGGUGUGAAAGCCCCGGGCUCAACCCGGGAAUUGCAUUCGAUACUGGCUGACUAGAGUAUGGUAGAGGGAAGCGGAAUUCCGGGUGUAGCGGUGAAAUGCGUAGAUAUCCGGAGGAACACCAGUGGCGAAGGCGGCUUCCUGGACCAAUACUGACACUGAGGCGCGAAAGCGUGGGGAGCAAACAGGAUUAGAUACCCGGGUAGUCC
Molecule: ribosomal RNA, 274 nt
Filed under: uncultured bacterium
Lineage: Bacteria
Description: partial 16S ribosomal RNA
Rfam family: Bacterial small subunit ribosomal RNA
Source: RNAcentral